UACGUAGGGAGCAAGCGUUGUCCGGAAUCAUUGGGCGUAAAGCGCGCGUAGGCGGCCCUGUAAGUCCGUUGUGAAAGUCAAAGGCUCAACCUUUGAAAGCCGAUGGAUACUGCAGGGCUAGAGUCCGGAAGAGGCGAGUGGAAUUCCUGGUGUAGCGGUGGAAUGCGUAGAUAUCAGGAGGAACGCCGGAGGCGAAAGCGGGUCUCUGGGCAGUAACUGACGCUGAGGAGCGAAAGCGUGGGGAGCGAACAGG
Molecule: ribosomal RNA, 253 nt
Filed under: uncultured bacterium
Lineage: Bacteria
Description: partial 16S ribosomal RNA
Rfam family: Bacterial small subunit ribosomal RNA
Source: RNAcentral